This 402-nucleotide ribosomal RNA is filed under the name Verrucomicrobiota bacterium. RNAcentral describes it as "Verrucomicrobia bacterium partial 16S ribosomal RNA". It matches the Rfam family "Bacterial small subunit ribosomal RNA", at positions 355 to 776 of the family's 1533-position model. The record is from RNAcentral. Lineage: Bacteria; Pseudomonadati; Verrucomicrobiota.
UGGGGAAUUUUGCACAAUGGGGGAAACCCUGAUGCAGCGACGCCGCGUGAUUUAGAAGGCCUUCGGGUUGUAAAAAUCUUUUCUAUGGGAAGAAAAUGACAGUACCAUAGGAAUAAGGACCGGCUAAUUACGUGCCAGCAGCCGCGGUAAUACGUAAGGUCCGAGCGUUGUCCGGAUUUAUUGGGCGUAAAGGGUUCGCAGGCGGAAAUGCAAGUCAGGUGUAAAAGGCAGUAGCUUAACUACUGUAAGCAUUUGAAACUGCAUAUCUUGAGAAGAGUAGAGGUAAGUGGAAUUUUUAGUGUAGCGGUGAAAUGCGUAGAUAUUAAAAAGAAUACCGGUGGCGAAGGCGACUUACUGGGCUCAUUCUGACGCUGAGGAACGAAAGCGUGGGUAGCAAACAGG